RNAcentral lists this transfer RNA (91 nucleotides) under Deltaproteobacteria bacterium. RNAcentral's name for it is "tRNA-Ser". It matches the Rfam family "tRNA". Rfam says of the family: Transfer RNA (tRNA) molecules are approximately 80 nucleotides in length. Their secondary structure includes four short double-helical elements and three loops (D, anti-codon, and T loops). Further hydrogen bonds mediate the characteristic L-shaped molecular structure. tRNAs have two regions of fundamental functional importance: the anti-codon, which is responsible for specific mRNA codon recognition, and the 3' end, to which the tRNAs corresponding amino acid is attached (by aminoacyl-tRNA synthetases). tRNAs cope with the degeneracy of the genetic code in two manners: having more than one tRNA (with a specific anti-codon) for a particular amino acid; and 'wobble' base-pairing, i.e. permitting non-standard base-pairing at the 3rd anti-codon position. The record is from RNAcentral. Lineage: Bacteria; Pseudomonadati; Myxococcota; Myxococcia.
GGAGAGAUGGCCGAGCGGCUGAAGGCACACGCCUGCUAAGCGUGCGUAGGGGAAAACUCUACCGAGGGUUCGAAUCCCUCUCUCUCCGCCA